Molecule: ribosomal RNA, 804 nt
Filed under: Triticum aestivum (bread wheat)
Lineage: Eukaryota; Viridiplantae; Streptophyta; Magnoliopsida; Poales; Poaceae
Description: partial small subunit ribosomal RNA
Source: RNAcentral
AUGGGGCGCGGGCCGGUGCAGCUGCGGCGGAUCGAGAACAAGAUAAACCGGCAGGUGACCUUCUCCAAGCGCCGCAGCGGGCUGCUCAAGAAGGCACACGAGAUCUCCGUGCUCUGCGACGCCGAGGUCGCGCUCAUCGUCUUCUCCACCAAGGGGAAGCUAUACGAGUACUCCAGCCAGGACAGUAGCAUGGAUGUGAUUCUUGAACGUUACCAACGUUACUCAUUUGAAGAAAGAGCUGUACUGGAUCCAAGUAUUGGAAACCAGGCAAACUGGGGAGAUGAAUAUGGAAGUUUGAAGAUAAAACUCGAUGCACUCCAGAAGAGUCAAAGGCAACUCUUGGGUGAACAAUUGGACCCACUCACCACAAAAGAACUCCAACAGUUGGAACAACAGCUUGAUAGUUCUUUGAAGCACAUAAGGUCAAGAAAGAAUCAACUUCUCUUUGAGUCUAUAUCUGAGCUUCAAAAGAAGGAGAAGUCAUUAAAAGAUCAGAAUGGCGUCCUGCAGAAGCACCUCGUAGAGACAGAAAAGGAGAAAAAUAACGUUUUGUCAAAUAUUCAUCACCAAGAGCAGUUGAAUGGAGCAACAAAUAUUCAUCACCAGGAGCAGCUGAAUGGAGCAACAACAAGCUCACCGUCACCUACACCAGCGACAGCCCAAGAUUCCAUGGCGACUCCAAAUAUUGGGCCAUAUCAAUCUAGAGAAUCAGGAGGGGGGAAUCCAGAACCUCAGCCGUCUCCAGCACAAGCAAACAACAGCAAUCUACCACCGUGGAUGCUCUCCACCAUCAGCAACAGAUGA